This 478-nucleotide ribosomal RNA is filed under the name uncultured bacterium. RNAcentral describes it as "partial 16S ribosomal RNA". It matches the Rfam family "Bacterial small subunit ribosomal RNA", at positions 28 to 507 of the family's 1533-position model. The record is from RNAcentral.
GACGAACGCUGGCGGCGUGCUUAACACAUGCAAGUCGAACGUGAUUUUUGUGGAAAUUCUUUCGGGAAUGGAAAUGAAAUGAAAGUGGCGAACGGGUGAGUAACACGUGAGCAACCUACCUUACACAGGGGGAUAGCCGUUGGAAACGACGAUUAAUACCGCAUGAGACCACAGAAUCGCAUGAUAUAGGGGUCAAAGAUUUAUCGGUGUAAGAAGGGCUCGCGUCUGAUUAGCUAGUUGGAAGGGUAAAGGCCUACCAAGGCGACGAUCAGUAGCCGGUCUGAGAGGAUGAACGGCCACAUUGGAACUGAGACACGGUCCAAACUCCUACGGGAGGCAGCAGUGGGGAAUAUUGCACAAUGGGGGGAACCCUGAUGCAGCGACGCCGCGUGAGCGAAGAAGGUUUUCGAAUCGUAAAGCCCUGUCCUAUGAGAAGAUAAUGACGGUAUCAUAGGAGGAAGCCCCGGCUAAAUACGUG